AACAUUCAAAUCCUGUUUUUCUUUGGAGAUUCUCGUGAUUAUCAAGGCCGUGCUCUUUUCGAUUGCAAAAGAGGCUGCUAAUAUUGUGUAUUCUCAAAAUCUGAGUCUUAAAAUUUGGUGAGCUGUUGACUACUGAACUUUUGAAGGUUGUUGUUAUUGUGAUAUUUUGUAUUCUGGUGUAUUCUGGAUUGUGAAAAUGGG
This 201-nucleotide long non-coding RNA is filed under the name Nicotiana benthamiana. RNAcentral's name for it is "long non-coding RNA (NBEN_LNC038853)". The record is from RNAcentral. Lineage: Eukaryota; Viridiplantae; Streptophyta; Magnoliopsida; Solanales; Solanaceae.